Molecule: ribosomal RNA, 306 nt
Filed under: uncultured bacterium
Lineage: Bacteria
Description: partial 16S ribosomal RNA
Rfam family: Bacterial small subunit ribosomal RNA
Source: RNAcentral
GACAGCAGCCGCCGCGGUAAAACGGAGGGGGCUAGCGUUGUUCGGAAUUACUGGGCGUAAAGCGUACGUAGGCGGCUUUGUAAGUUAGAGGUGAAAGCCUGGAGCUCAACUCCAGAAUUGCCUUUAAGACUGCAUCGCUUGAACGUCGGAGAGGUGAGUGGAAUUCCGAGUGUAGCGGUGAAAUGCGUAGAUAUCGGAAGGAACACCUGUGGCGAAAGCGGCUCACUGGACCAUUUCUGACGCUGAUGCACGAAAGCUAGGGGAGCAAACAGGAUUAGAUACCCCUGUAGUCCCUGUCUCUUAUAC